This 648-nucleotide ribosomal RNA is filed under the name uncultured bacterium. RNAcentral describes it as "bacterial SSU rRNA". It matches the Rfam family "Bacterial small subunit ribosomal RNA", at positions 1 to 633 of the family's 1533-position model. The record is from RNAcentral.
CGGAGAGUUUGAUCCUGGCUCAGGACGAACGCUGGCGGCGUGCCUAAUACAUGCAAGUCGAGCGGGGUUGUUUAGAAGCUUGCUUCUAAACAACCUAGCGGCGGACGGGUGAGUAACACGUAGGCAACCUGCCCACAAGACAGGGAUAACUACCGGAAACGGUAGCUAAUACCCGAUACAUCCUUUUCCUGCAUGGGAGAAGGAGGAAAGGCGGAGCAAUCUGUCGCUUGUGGAUGGGCCUGCGGCGCAUUAGCUAGUUGGUGGGGUAAAGGCCUACCAAGGCGACGAUGCGUAGCCGACCUGAGAGGGUGAUCGGCCACACUGGGACUGAGACACGGCCCAGACUCCUACGGGAGGCAGCAGUAGGGAAUCUUCCGCAAUGGGCGAAAGCCUGACGGAGCAACGCCGCGUGAGUGAUGAAGGUUUUCGGAUCGUAAAGCUCUGUUGCCAGGGAAGAACGUCUUGUAGAGUAACUGCUACAAGAGUGACGGUACCUGAGAAGAAAGCCCCGGCUAACUACGUGCCAGCAGCCGCGGUAAUACGUAGGGGGCAAGCGUUGUCCGGAAUUAUUGGGCGUAAAGCGCGCGCAGGCGGCUCUUUAAGUCUGGUGUUUAAUCCCGAGGCUCAACUUCGGGUCGCACUGGAAAC